RNAcentral lists this ribosomal RNA (254 nucleotides) under uncultured bacterium. RNAcentral describes it as "partial 16S ribosomal RNA". It matches the Rfam family "Bacterial small subunit ribosomal RNA", at positions 524 to 776 of the family's 1533-position model. The record is from RNAcentral.
UACGAACUGUGCAAACGUUAUUCGGAAUCACUGGGCGUAAAGGGCGCGUAGGCGGCCCGCACAAGUCUGCGGUGAAAACCCCCGGCUUAACCGGGGGCCGGCCGUGGAAACUGUCGGGCUGGAGGCUGGGAGAGGGCAGCGGAAUUCCCGGUGUAGCGGUGAAAUGCGUAGAGAUCGGGAGGAACACCGGCGGCGAAGGCGGCUGCCUGGACCAGUCCUGACGCUGAGGCGCGAAAGCUAGGGGAGCAAACAGG